AGUGAACGCUGGCGGUAGGCCUAACACAUGCAAGUCGAACGGCAGCACAGUAAGAGCUUGCUCUUACGGGUGGCGAGUGGCGGACGGGUGAGGAAUACAUCGGAAUCUACUUUUUCGUGGGGGAUAACGUAGGGAAACUUACGCUAAUACCGCAUACGACCUACGGGUGAAAGCAGGGGAUCUUCGGACCUUGCGCGAUUGAAUGAGCCGAUGUCGGAUUAGCUAGUUGGCGGGGUAAAGGCCCACCAAGGCGACGAUCCGUAGCUGGUCUGAGAGGAUGAUCAGCCACACUGGAACUGAGACACGGUCCAGACUCCUACGGGAGGCAGCAGUGGGGAAUAUUGGACAAUGGGCGCGAGCCUGAUCCAGCCAUACCGCGUGGGUGAAGAAGGCCUUCGGGUUGUAAAGCCCUUUUGUUGGGAAAGAAAAGCAGCAGGUUAAUACCCCGCUGUUCUGACGGUACCCAAAGAAUAAGCACCGGCUAACUUCGU
This 491-nucleotide ribosomal RNA is filed under the name uncultured bacterium. RNAcentral describes it as "partial 16S ribosomal RNA". It matches the Rfam family "Bacterial small subunit ribosomal RNA", at positions 29 to 506 of the family's 1533-position model. The record is from RNAcentral.